AUUGCGGCACCGGGUCAUUCCCGGUGCCACGUCCGUCUGAGGGUCGGUAC
RNAcentral lists this ribosomal RNA (50 nucleotides) under Priapulus caudatus. Its description in RNAcentral is "partial 5.8S ribosomal RNA". The record is from RNAcentral. Lineage: Eukaryota; Metazoa; Priapulida; Priapulimorpha; Priapulimorphida; Priapulidae.